UUGGAGGGCAAGUCUGGUGCCAGCAGCCGCGGUAAUUCCAGCUCCAAUAGCGUAUAUUAAAGUUGUUGCAGUUAAAAAGCUCGUAGUUGAAUUUCGGGAUCAAUAUAUCGGUCGUGCCUUUGGUACGUACUGGUAUCAUUGAUUUCUCCCUUCUGACGAAUCAUGAUGUCAUUAAUUUGGUGUUAUGAGGAGUUAGGACUGUUACUUUGAAAAAAUUAGAGUGUUUAAAGCAGGCAUUAGCUUGAAUACAUUAGCAUGGAAUAAUGAAAUAGGACGUUUGAUCCUAUUUUGUUGGUUUUUAGGAUCGACGUAAUGAUUAAUAGGGAUAGUUGGGGGCAUUAGUAUUCAAUUGUCAGAGGUGAAAUUCUUGGAUUUAUUGAAGACUAACUACUGCGAAAGCAUUUGCCAAGGAUGUUUUCAUUAAUCAAGAACGAAAGUUAGGGGAUCGAAGACGAUCAGAUACCGCCGUAGUCUUAACCAUAAACUAUGCCGACUAGGGAUCGGAUGAUGUUAAUUUUAUAAUGACUCAUUCGGCGCCUUACGGGAAAC
Molecule: ribosomal RNA, 549 nt
Filed under: uncultured Glomeromycotina
Lineage: Eukaryota; Fungi; Glomeromycota
Description: SSU rRNA
Rfam family: Eukaryotic small subunit ribosomal RNA
Source: RNAcentral